Non-coding RNA from Gossypium raimondii (Peruvian cotton), 107 nucleotides. The record is from Rfam. Lineage: Eukaryota; Viridiplantae; Streptophyta; Magnoliopsida; Malvales; Malvaceae.
AGACCAUGGUGAGGGCAUCGUUGUACCAAUGACUUGAAUCGUUCCCAAGCUUCGUGAAGGCUUUCUCCCUCCAAUUGUUUAAACAUGACAAUCUCUCUUCUCAGUUG